This 156-nucleotide ribosomal RNA is filed under the name uncultured bacterium. RNAcentral describes it as "partial 16S ribosomal RNA". It matches the Rfam family "Bacterial small subunit ribosomal RNA", at positions 364 to 509 of the family's 1533-position model. The record is from RNAcentral.
UUCCAACAAUGGAACGAAAGUCUGAUGGAGCAACGCCGCGUGAGUGAAGAAGGGUUUCGGCUCGUAAAGCUCUGUUGGUAGUGAAGAAAGAUAGAGGUAGUAACUGGCCUUUUAUUUGACGGUAAUUACUUAGAAAGUCACGGCUAACUACGUGCC